RNAcentral lists this ribosomal RNA (232 nucleotides) under uncultured bacterium. RNAcentral's name for it is "partial 16S ribosomal RNA". It matches the Rfam family "Bacterial small subunit ribosomal RNA", at positions 99 to 334 of the family's 1533-position model. The record is from RNAcentral.
CGGACGGGUGAGUAAUGUCUGGGAAACUGCCUGAUGGAGGGGGGUAACUACUGGAAACGGUAGCUAAUACCGCAUAACGUCGCAAGACCAAAGAGGGGGACCUUCGGGCCUCUUGCCAUCGGAUGUGCCCAGAUGGGAUUAGCUAGUAGGUGGGGUAACGGCUCACCUAGGCGACGAUCCCUAGCUGGCCUGAGAGGAUGACCAGCCACACUGGAACUGAGACACGGUCCAG